This is a long non-coding RNA of Amblyraja radiata (thorny skate), 159 nucleotides long. RefSeq lists it as uncharacterized. NCBI's taxonomy places the organism in Eukaryota, Metazoa, Chordata, Chondrichthyes, Rajiformes, Rajidae. The transcript is spliced from 3 exons. The record is from RefSeq and is a predicted model, not a curated record.
ACCUGUAUUGAAAGCAGCAGAUAAGAGCAACACGGUGUAAACCAGGUGCAGCAUUUUGCACAAUAUCUUCAAGGAUCAAUAAUGCAGGAUUCAAUGCAAUGUAAUUUUCCUAAUGCUAGAAUAUGCUGCAAACUGCACUUGUAAUCUGACUCCGAGCGC